CCUGUUAUCUGACCAAUAACAGAAUGCACCACAGCGUAAAAUCAUCUGAUUGGGUGAGUUGGUCGCACCGCCAUUUGACGAACGAACGCCAAGCCUAAGCCAUCUUUGUGCAUUAAGUGGGUAAAGGUUGGUUAGUAGCGGUUUCCCCCACGACAAGGGGU
Moraxella nonliquefaciens is the source of this 161-nucleotide small RNA. It matches the Rfam family "Pseudomonadales-1 RNA". Lineage: Bacteria; Pseudomonadati; Pseudomonadota; Gammaproteobacteria; Moraxellales; Moraxellaceae. The record is from Rfam.